RNAcentral lists this ribosomal RNA (459 nucleotides) under uncultured bacterium. RNAcentral's name for it is "partial 16S ribosomal RNA". It matches the Rfam family "Bacterial small subunit ribosomal RNA", at positions 338 to 795 of the family's 1533-position model. The record is from RNAcentral.
CCUACGGGUGGCAGCAGUGAGGAAUAUUGGUCAAUGGCCGGAAGGCUGAACCAGCCAAGCCGCGUGAAGGACGAAGGUGCCAAGCAUUGUAAACUUCUUUUGUCAAGGGACAAAAUCAGGCUCGAGAGCCUGACCGAGGGUACUUGAAGAAAAAGCAUCGGCUAACUCCGUGCCAGCAGCCGCGGUAAUACGGAGGAUGCGAGCGUUAUCCGGAUUUAUGGGGUGUAAAGGGUGCGUCGGCGGGCUGUUAAGUCAGCGGUAAAAGCCCGGGGCUCAACCCCGGCGCGCCGUUGAAACUGGCUGUCUUGAGAUGUCGAGAGGUAUGCGGAAUGCGCAGUGUAGCGGUGAAAUGCUUAGAUAGUGCGCAGAACUCCGAUUGCGAAGGCAGCAUACCGGCGGCGAUCUGACGAUGAGGCACGAAAGCGUGGGUAUCGAACAGGAUUAGAUACCCGGGUAGUC